GAUGAACGCUAGCGGCAGGCCUAACACAUGCAAGUCGAGGGGUAACAUAGAAAAGCUUGCUUUUCUGAUGACGACCGGCGCACGGGUGCGUAACGCGUAUACAACCUACCUUUUAGCGGGGAAUAGCCCAGGGAAACUUGGAUUAAUGCCUCAUAGUAUAUAAGCUUCUCCUGAAGUUUAUAUUUAAACAUUUAUGGCUAUUAGAUGGGUAUGCGUCCUAUUAGUUAGUUGGUAAGGUAACGGCUUACCAAGGCAGCGAUAGGUAGGGGUCCUGAGAGGGAGAUCCCCACACUGGUACUGAGACACGGACCAGACUCCUACGGGAGGCAGCAGUGAGGAAUAUUGGACAAUGGGCGAGAGCCUGAUCCAGCCAUGCCGCGUGCAGGAAGACUGCCCUAUGGGUUGUAAACUGCUUUUACAGAGGAAGAACCACCCCCACGUGUGGGGGGUUUGACGGUACUCUGCGAAUAAGGAUCGGCUAACUCCGUG
This 489-nucleotide ribosomal RNA is filed under the name uncultured bacterium. RNAcentral's name for it is "bacterial SSU rRNA". It matches the Rfam family "Bacterial small subunit ribosomal RNA", at positions 28 to 507 of the family's 1533-position model. The record is from RNAcentral.